RNAcentral lists this transfer RNA (88 nucleotides) under candidate division WWE3 bacterium. Its description in RNAcentral is "tRNA-Ser". It matches the Rfam family "tRNA". Rfam says of the family: Transfer RNA (tRNA) molecules are approximately 80 nucleotides in length. Their secondary structure includes four short double-helical elements and three loops (D, anti-codon, and T loops). Lineage: Bacteria; candidate division WWE3. The record is from RNAcentral.
GGAGAAGUCGCAUAGUGGUCGAGUGCAGCGGUUUACUAAACCGCCAUACCGCAAGGUAUCGUGGGUUCGAAUCCCACCUUCUCCGCCA